UGACUCCAGACAUGAAUUUCAUGGUCAUC
RNAcentral lists this non-coding RNA (29 nucleotides) under Mus musculus (house mouse). Lineage: Eukaryota; Metazoa; Chordata; Mammalia; Rodentia; Muridae. The record is from RNAcentral.